Molecule: ribosomal RNA, 114 nt
Filed under: uncultured eukaryote
Lineage: Eukaryota
Description: partial small subunit ribosomal RNA
Rfam family: Bacterial small subunit ribosomal RNA
Source: RNAcentral
UGGCUUUACCUGAAGACGGUGCGCUAACCGCAAGGAGGCAGCCAACCACGGUAGGGUCAGCGACUGGGGUGAAGUCGUAACAAGGUAGCCGUAGGUGAACCUGCAGAAGGAUCA